Molecule: long non-coding RNA, 361 nt
Organism: Sinocyclocheilus grahami
Lineage: Eukaryota; Metazoa; Chordata; Actinopteri; Cypriniformes; Cyprinidae
Exons: 3
Source: RefSeq, a predicted model, not a curated record
UUCAAGUUCCCCCAGCAGAAGCUGUGCCUGAUUUGUAGCCAAUGCUAGAGAUGUUCGAAAAGGGAGGAAAACACUAAGCGGGUAGCUAUGGAGAUAGACCGUUUUCCUGGCCGCUUCCUUUGACAGGUGUUGAGUAGGUUAAAAGUCUUCAAACAGAGUCCACCAUGUACGCCAAAGGGAAAGGAGCUGUCGUUCCAUCCGAUAGUCAAGCCAGAGAGAAGUUAGCUUUAUACGUGUACGAGUACUUAUUGCAUGUUGGGGCCCAGAAAUCAGCACAGACCUUCCUUUCCGAGAUCCGAUGGGAGAAGAACAUUACGCUAGGGGAGCCUCCUGGAUUCCUCCAUUCAUGGUGGUGGUAAGU